This 398-nucleotide ribosomal RNA is filed under the name Conicobruchus strangulatus. RNAcentral's name for it is "partial 12S small subunit ribosomal RNA". The record is from RNAcentral. Lineage: Eukaryota; Metazoa; Arthropoda; Insecta; Coleoptera; Chrysomelidae.
UAAACUAGGAUUAGAUACCCUAUUAUUUUAAAUGUUAAUUUUUGAUACUAAAUUAUUAGUAGUUAUGUUCUAUAAAAUUAAAAAAUUUGGCGGUAUUUUAGUCUUUUCAGAGGAACCUGUCCUGUAAUUGAUAGUCCACGAUUAUAUAUAUUUUAUUUUUUAAUUUACAUAUCAUCGUAGUUAGAAUAUUUUAAUAGAAAAAUAAUAUUCAAGAUUUUAUAUUAAAAAUUAAAUCAGAUCAAGGUGUAGUUUAUAAUAAAAUAGAGAUGGGUUACAUUAAAUUUAUUUUAGGAUUAUAUUUUUUAAAAAUAUUUGAAUUUGGAUUUGAAAGUAAUUUUUUGAUUUUACUUAAGAUGAUUAUAGCUCUAAAAUAUGUACACAUCGCCCGUCGCUCUUAA